Long non-coding RNA from Phacochoerus africanus (Common warthog), 2094 nucleotides. RefSeq lists it as uncharacterized. The record is from RefSeq and is a predicted model, not a curated record. NCBI's taxonomy places the organism in Eukaryota, Metazoa, Chordata, Mammalia, Artiodactyla, Suidae. The transcript has 3 exons.
AACCGAAAUAUCAGAAGGGAAAAAUGAUCCUUAAAAAGGAUUUUCUCUUUGUCUCUUCUCUUGUCCCUUCCCUACCCAAUGCUUCUCCACUGAACAAAGCCAUGUCCUAGAGACUGACAAGAGGUCUGCCCCUGGGUGGGCACAGGGCAUGUGACAAUGAGCUGGGGGAGAGCCAAGGGUGGGUACCUGGAAACCACUCUCUCCUGCACCUGUCAGGCAGAUGUAUAGGACCUGGGCUCUCUGGACACUUUCGUUCGCCAGGCUCUGUGAUUCUGUGAGUGGUAGACGCAUGUCCACGCAGAUUCUGCUCACCUGGCAGAUACUCUUCCUUCCCCUCUCACCUCAACUUUCCACUAGUUGUUGAAAGCUGAAGAUUGUUCUAAGGAUGAAAAGAAUUCAUACACGGAAAGCAGGUUGAACCGUGCCUGGGACGCGGCAAGUCCUGCUUAUACAAUGUUUGUGUUCUGAAUGGAGUGAAAACUCUUGGUAACUAGUCCUGGAACAGUACAUGAUUGGUUGCAUUUAAUUUCUCAGUGACUCAUGGUCAUGCUCGUGAAGGGGCAUUUCCUGGGUGAACCUGGGAAGGUAGGAAAGAUCUAGUACCAUCCCAUACCCCUCUCAUCCUCUGCUCAGGCUUUCCUCUCCAUCUCCAACUGUGACAGGCUUCUGUCUGCUCCCAGUGCCUCCAAGACAGCUCCCCACUGGACUGGCACCCACCUGGGCCCCGGGAUCCAAAAUGCUUUCUCAUUCCAAGUCAGCAGCACCCACACGUCCUGCACAGCUAACAUCAGCCAGUUCCUGUCAUCAACGUGAACAAACUCAUACUCGAGAAAUAGUCAAGACUGCCUCGUAUGUGUCUGCAUUGUCAGGCACUGGGAUAUGGUGAUACUCAAGACAGAGAAAGUGAACCUUCCUGGAACUGGCAUCCUGUAGAUAAGCACCCAGGCCUCUCUGAUUCAACCUGACAGAAGCUCUCACUCGGAGGGUUGGAGACAUGGGUCAACUGAGUGCAUUCAACAAACCAAGAAGCAGGGCAAGGAGCUCAGUAACAUCUUACCUAGUGCUUUCGUGGUCCACAAAAUGCUAUAGAAAACCUUGGCCAUUCUGCCCACGUGUCCAGCCACAUCCCAGCGCUGCUCCCCCUCACGAUGGGUCACCUGAUCUCUCUGAAAUCCACAGUCAUUCUGAAUUGCACUUUGACACUGGGAGGUGUGCCUUUGCACAAAAAUGCCUCUCAAGCUGAUCUUGUAGCCCUUCUUCUGCCUCCUCCUAAGCCCAGGACCGAUGGACCACACCCUCUUCCUGCCUUUGUUCAUCCCACCUGCCCUUCCUUACGUGUCUGUCUUUUCCGUCACCAGCCUCAGGUUCUCUGUGGAACAUACAGACUCUCUAUGAGUUGUCUUACCAUCUUGUGGAAAGCCUCUCCUAGAAAUCAAAGAAGGCUCCUGUUGGAACAAUGGCCGAACUUCUGCACUUUCUCCACCUUGAAAAUGAGGUGGGAAACUCAGGGAGUGGGCAACGUCUUCCUUCCUGCGGACCUCAGGGGUCCUCACUCAGACAGACAAGCCAUCUGCGGUGACUGCUGGAUGGGCUUUGCCCAGCCCAGGUCAGCAAGAGCGGCUGCCGGUGCACCUGCUCAUCUCUCCUCACAGCAUCGCUUCAUCUGAUUUUCCUGAGCCGCAUCCCACCCCUUCCGCUGCGUGUGAUAUGUAACCAGGUACUGACUCUCCCUGCUAGGUGUCAAGUUGAGAUGCGACCCUAUCCCUCUGGAGAUUGAGCUUUGGAUGGAAAACUUGGAAAGAUCAAAAUACUGAAGAUUCAAACAAGACUCCAAAAAAAUACGUGUUUGACGGCCAGAGCUGGACUGACAAUGGGAGGACAUACCUGGUGAAGUUACCCCACCAGGCAUCUUGCACCUCCUGGGUAAAAGCGUUGGCCAACCCGUCCAUUGGAAAGCUGACCUUGAUUUCCUCUGGCUCUGGGCCUCCUGAUUUGCUGAAGAAUGAAUGGCACCAUUACCGAAUGACAGAGGCUGCCUGCCUGCAGCGUGAGGGUGGGAGGGGCCAUGUCUGGGGCUUUUAGAUCCAGGCUUGG